Cydia strobilella is the source of this 863-nucleotide long non-coding RNA. RefSeq lists it as uncharacterized. The record is from RefSeq and is a predicted model, not a curated record. NCBI's taxonomy places the organism in Eukaryota, Metazoa, Arthropoda, Insecta, Lepidoptera, Tortricidae. The transcript has 2 exons.
AUUAUCUAAACAUUUGUUUUUUUUUAGCCAUGCUAUGCUAGCGUGACUUGUUAAUUUUGACGUACAUAGUUUACAGUUUAAUUAAAUAAUUACAUGGUAAAAGUACAUAUUAUACUUUUAAGACCAAGAAAAUUUUCAUAAAAUGACGCCAAAAAGAGAAGAGCUUCUAAAAAGAUUUAAAGAAGAAAGAAUCGCAAGAGAAAAGGCCAGAAUACAAAUGUUACAUGAUAUGAAUCGAAGAAAAUACAAUAAAAAUGAUGAGAACGCAUGGAAAUAUUCAAAAUCGAAUACAUCUUUAAAUAUAUCAAAUGGGAAAUCACCGGUUAAGAAUACAGCUUACCAAAAUGGUCCUCAUUUUGCAAGGGGUAUAAAGAGUCCAAUCAAUACAGCGAAAUUUCAGAAACACAUUAGUCUUACUAGCUUUGGUGAGAAUUUUUUAAAUGUCUCAGCACCUGUCUGGAGUAAUACAUCUUUGUCCAGUGAUUUGAACACAAAAAGAAGAAGCAUGCAUAAUUCUACAACUGCUGGGCAGAAUGAGUCCAUGAAUACAAAAUAAGUUAUAACCACUUUUUUUGGAACCGUUUUUAGAAACAAAUUUAUGUAAGACGAAAUUCUAUGAAUAGAUUGAUUGCUUUGUCCCUGUCUUGACAUAAGCUAGUAAUACAUUUUAAUUUUUUAAUGUUAAUUAUUAAAGAAGUUACGAAUGUUAAUCAUAAUAAGUAAAUCAGAAACUUAAAUUAAUUGAUUUUAUAAUAUAAUUGACUGUAAUGUAAUAUAAAUAUUUAAUCAACUUUCUUAUAAUUGUUUUAGUUAUUUUAUGUUUAUGAGGGUAGUUCAUAAAAAAUAAAAAUAUUUGAACUCAU